AACGCACAUUGCGCCCUUUGGUAUUCCGAAGGGCAUGCCUGUUCGAGCGUCAUUAUCACCCCUCAAGCCCCGUGCUUGGUGUUGGAUGGCCGGUCGAGCGAUCGACCCCUCCGAAAGACAAUGACGGCGGCCUGUGGUUCCCCCGGUACACUGAGCUUCUCAUCGAGCACGUAUCGGACAAGGGCGCUCGGGACCCGGUCCUCUCCUUUCACAAGGAAACUUCCAUGGUUGACCUCGGAUCAGGUAGGAAUACGCGCUGAACUUAA
This 266-nucleotide unclassified non-coding RNA is filed under the name uncultured fungus. RNAcentral's name for it is "partial contains 5.8S ribosomal RNA, internal transcribed spacer 2, and large subunit ribosomal RNA". The stretch from base 1 to 52 matches the Rfam family "5.8S ribosomal RNA", at positions 103 to 154 of the family's 154-position model. The record is from RNAcentral. Lineage: Eukaryota; Fungi.